Sarcophilus harrisii (Tasmanian devil) is the source of this 458-nucleotide long non-coding RNA. RefSeq lists it as uncharacterized. The record is from RefSeq and is a predicted model, not a curated record. The transcript has 4 exons. Lineage: Eukaryota; Metazoa; Chordata; Mammalia; Dasyuromorphia; Dasyuridae.
CAAACACAAGAGAAAAAGAGGAGGAAAAACCAUGAUGAAUUUUCAGCAGUUUCCUUUCCUCUAUCUGCUUGUAGAAUUGGGAGAUCCAUGAAUCAACUAAGAAUUCAUCAAAUUAUAUAGUUUUCCUUCCACAUUGCAAACUUAUUGCAGUUCCAACAUAUCACAGGUUCUCCGGGUGAUGGAGGAGAGAUAUAUUUGGAGAUUAAGGGCCAGGAAAAAGAAAGACUGAAAAUAAGAGCACUAAAGUUAUCUUGAAAAAGUUAAAUGGCUGAGGAAACCCAAGACACAAGACAAAUGAAAAAGGACCAAUAUUCCAAAUGGGGUCAAAGGCAGAAGACAAGGAGCCUAAGGCAGCUUGAUUCCCGGACCUUCAAUAGAAAUCUAUACAUGUGAUGGAAAAUGUUAACCAUAUCUAGAAAAGUCUGAAUGCAGAUUGAAGUAUACUAUUUUUAUUUUGC